RNAcentral lists this ribosomal RNA (239 nucleotides) under uncultured bacterium. RNAcentral's name for it is "partial 16S ribosomal RNA". It matches the Rfam family "Bacterial small subunit ribosomal RNA", at positions 1264 to 1500 of the family's 1533-position model. The record is from RNAcentral.
CAAGCGGAUCUCUUAAAGCCGUUCUCAGUUCGGACUGUAGGCUGCAACUCGCCUACACGAAGCUGGAAUCGCUAGUAAUCGCGGAUCAGCACGCCGCGGUGAAUACGUUCCCGGGCCUUGUACACACCGCCCGUCACACCAUGAGAGUCUGUAACACCCAAAGCCGGUGGGAUAACCUUUAUAGGAGUCAGCCGUCUAAGGUAGGACAGAUGAUUAGGGUGAAGUCGUAACAAGGUAGC